RNAcentral lists this ribosomal RNA (366 nucleotides) under Triticum aestivum (bread wheat). RNAcentral's name for it is "partial small subunit ribosomal RNA". Lineage: Eukaryota; Viridiplantae; Streptophyta; Magnoliopsida; Poales; Poaceae. The record is from RNAcentral.
CAGAUUGAAAAGUUUGAAGGAAAAGUUUUUGUCUAUGGGAGGGAAGAAAUCUUACUAAAGGCAAUUAUACAAUCUAUUCAUGUGUUUGCUAAGUCAGUCUUUAACAUUCCCAAAAGACUUUGUAAGGCAAGGACUGAUGCAAUGGUUGAGUUUUGGUGGGGUGAUAUAGCUAUAAUUAAAUGCAUGCAUUGGAUGGCGUGGUGGAGAAUACGUAUCCCUAAGAAAUAUGGAGGUAUGGGAUUCCGUGACUUACAUUCUUUUAGUUUGGCUAUGUUGGCAAAGUAAUCCUGGAGAUUGAUCUCUACUUCAGAUUCUCUGCGUGCACAAGUUCUUAAGCCAAAUAUUAUCCAAACUGCAAUUUACUGA